RNAcentral lists this ribosomal RNA (532 nucleotides) under Cupidaspis cupressi. Its description in RNAcentral is "eukaryotic LSU rRNA". The record is from RNAcentral. Lineage: Eukaryota; Metazoa; Arthropoda; Insecta; Hemiptera; Diaspididae.
AUCUGGGCGGCGGAAUUCAGGAUGGCUGGCGGGUCUCGCGCUCGUCCGGCCGUUUGAUAUUUCCGUCGCCGUGUCAGACGUCGCGACCUGUUCGUCGUCGGUCCCUGCUCGGAGGAAUCGCGAUCGAGUUCGUUGCGGGCGCGCUUCGGCGUGUUCCGCGGCGAAGACGCGGCUCUCUGGCUGGCGACGGACAGUAGGCAACGGUGUCCGGCGCCGUGUCUCGCACUCGGCGUCGGUGCCGGUCAGCGACGAUUUCUUCGGGCCUCUUUCCGACCCGUCUUGAAACACGGACCAAGGAGUCUAACAUGCGCGCGAGUCGCGGGGUUUCGAGCGUGCCACGUUGUGCGCUCGUUACUUCCGAAACCCGUACGUUGAAGGCGUAAUGAAAGUGAACAGGGAAGAUGGCGUUCCGAGUCCACGUACCGUGAUCGAGUAUCGCGGCCGGACGUCCGCACUCCCGGGGCGUCUCAAUGGUUCGUCGCGGAUGCGGACGGUCGUCUUUCGGGGCGGCCGUCGGUCUGCGCCGGUCCGA